AGUACCGUGAGGGAAAGUUGCAAAGCACUUUGAAGAGAGAGUUUAAGAGGACGUGAAACCGAUAAGAUCGAAACGGAGAGAGGCAACAAAUAAUGCUUGCAUUCAACUGUCAUAGUGCGCGCUGUUGGAUUUAGUAAUCUCGUUUAGAGUUACUGGUUUUUCUAGUGUGCAAAAUGGCAUUGCAUUUGCAAGUGUAUUGUGCUAAAGCGUGUAACCCAGUUGUUGGAAAUUUGUUAAGAGGACUUCUUCGGAAGAACCCUUGUCAAAUAGACUGCAGUUUGAGUUGCGCGUAAACAGUUUGGCUAACGAGCAAUUGGGUUGUUGUAGUUGCUGUCAAUGGGGAUCGCUUGCGAUACUYGUUGUCUGGCGGUUGCAAUAAUUUYGUUGUUCUCAAACCGUCUUUAGUAUAAAAGUUGUUCAUCUCUCCGACCCGUCUUGAAACACGGACCAAGGAGUUUAUCGUUUAUGCAAGUCAUUGAGUUUUUAAAACUUAAAGGCGAAAUGAAAGUAAAGAAGCUGCAAAGUUUUUAUAUGUGAUCUUGGCCAUUUAUGGUUAAGAGCAGCAUAUCCCCGUCUUGACCGCUUGCGGUAGGGCGGAGGUAGAGCGUUAGCGAUUAGACCCGAAAGAUGGUGAACUAUGCUUGAACAGGAUGAAGCCAGAGGAAACUCUGGUGGAAGUCCGAAGCGAUUCUGACGUGCAAAUCGAUCGUCUGAUUUGAGUAUAGGGGCGAAAGACUAAUCGAACCAUCUAGUAGC
Molecule: ribosomal RNA, 756 nt
Filed under: Paraphelenchus sp. j XM-2023
Lineage: Eukaryota; Metazoa; Nematoda; Chromadorea; Rhabditida; Aphelenchidae
Description: Paraphelenchus japonicus partial large subunit ribosomal RNA
Source: RNAcentral